RNAcentral lists this ribosomal RNA (682 nucleotides) under Campylobacter jejuni. RNAcentral describes it as "partial 23S ribosomal RNA". It matches the Rfam family "Bacterial large subunit ribosomal RNA", at positions 1074 to 1754 of the family's 2925-position model. Lineage: Bacteria; Pseudomonadati; Campylobacterota; Epsilonproteobacteria; Campylobacterales; Campylobacteraceae. The record is from RNAcentral.
UGUGAAGUUACUUAAACAACCAGGAGGUUGGCUUAGAAGCAGCCAUCCUUUAAAGAAAGCGUAAUAGCUCACUGGUCUAGUGAUUUUGCGCGGAAAAUAUAACGGGGCUAAAGUAAGUACCGAAGCUGUAGACUUAGUUUACUAAGUGGUAGGAGAGCGUUCUAUUUGCGUCGAAGGUAUACCGGUAAGGAGUGCUGGAGCGAAUAGAAGUGAGCAUGCAGGCAUGAGUAGCGAUAAUUAAUGUGAGAAUCAUUAACGCCGUAAACCCAAGGUUUCCUACGCGAUGCUCGUCAUCGUAGGGUUAGUCGGGUCCUAAGUCGAGUCCGAAAGGGGUAGACGAUGGCAAAUUGGUUAAUAUUCCAAUACCAACAUUAGUGUGCGAUGGAAGGACGCUUAGGGCUAAGGGGGCUAGCGGAUGGAAGUGCUAGUCUAAGGUCGUAGGAGGUUAUACAGGCAAAUCCGUAUAACAAUACUCCGAGAACUGAAAGGCUUUUUGAAGUCUUCGGAUGGAUAGAAGAACCCCUGAUGCCGUCGAGCCAAGAAAAGUUUCUAAGUUUAGCUAAUGUUGCCCGUACCGUAAACCGACACAGGUGGGUGGGAUGAGUAUUCUAAGGCGCGUGGAAGAACUCUCUUUAAGGAACUCUGCAAAAUAGCACCGUAUCUUCGGUAUAAGGUGUGGUUA